Long non-coding RNA from Nematostella vectensis (starlet sea anemone), 360 nucleotides. RefSeq lists it as uncharacterized. NCBI's taxonomy places the organism in Eukaryota, Metazoa, Cnidaria, Anthozoa, Actiniaria, Edwardsiidae. The transcript has 2 exons. The record is from RefSeq and is a predicted model, not a curated record.
AAUAAUAAUAAUAAUAAUAAUAAUAAUAAUAAUAAUAAUAAUAAUAAUACCAGUUUUAAGAUAUGGAGCUGGUGUAGUUAAGUGGACCAAGACUGAGUUGGAGAACAUAGAUAGGAAGACAAGGAAACGGAUGACGAUCUAUGGAAUGCUACACCCUCGAGCUAAUGUUGGCCGUUUAUAUCUACCAAGACGAUGUGGAGGACGCGGGCUGAUAGGGGUUGAAGAUUGUAUACAUCUAGAAGAAAAGGGAUUGGCAGACUAUGUUCACAAAAGCGAGGAACCGUUACUUCUAGCGGUGAGGAAUAAAGGAAUACUUCGUGUAGAGGAACAACAGACUGCUAGGGUCUUAAAAGAAAAGCU